ACAACGAAUUGGUUUGCACUUGUCAGGAGGUCAAUUUUUAUUUACACUUGGGUUGCAUUUGUAAAAAACCAUCAUUCCUUCACUGUCGACGGCUAUUGAAAGGAGGACUGUGGCAAUUUCUUUUGUUCUGUCCAACCCACCGCAAUUUCUUUGUUCUGCCCAAGCCACCGCUGCCGGUAAAGCUAUGGAUUGUUGCUGGGAUUUUCUGCUUAUGCUAAUGCUUCUUCUUCAUUUUGCUCUCCUUCAUAAAGAUUGGUCAGGUGAGCUUUUCCUUUUACUGAACUAUUCCUUCUAUAAUGCUGUUUAUUCCGAUAUGUUUUUUGCUUGGUCAUUCGUAUUUACUUUGUUUAUGGGUGUUUUGUAUUUUGUCGUUGCGUUAAGGUAAGCCUAUUUUUAAUUUUCUGUGUUCUUUGAUUAUUAUUAUUGGACAAUUUGUGGUCGUCCUUGUCUGUGAGAAUUGAACAAUAUUCGUCGGAUGCGCUUUUUCUUUUAGUGAACUAUUUCGUCUAUACUCCUGUUUAUUCCAAUAUGUUUUUUGGUCCGUCAUUCAUCGACUAAUUCAGGUUUACUUUCUCUGUUUAUGGGUGUUUUCUAUUUUGCCGUUGCAUUAAGCUUUCUUCAUAUGUGGUUGCUGUAACGAGCUUUCUUUCUUCGUCAUCUUGUGUUAUAUAUUUGGAGUUUGUAUUGAUUCAGCAAUAAUUGAAGCAUCCAGCAGGUUGAGCAGUAGUAACAGAAAUUGACAAUAAGUAACAUGUAGUAAUUCUUCGGACACUAGUACUUUUCUUUGUUAUAGGCAUGUAUUCAUUUGAAAGCUGAUAAAGAUUCUGGGCUGAAUUUGUAAUGCUUUUACAUGUAUAUUAUGCAGAAUAAAUGCUACCCUAAUUCUC
Coffea arabica (coffee) is the source of this 887-nucleotide long non-coding RNA. RefSeq lists it as uncharacterized. The record is from RefSeq and is a predicted model, not a curated record. Lineage: Eukaryota; Viridiplantae; Streptophyta; Magnoliopsida; Gentianales; Rubiaceae.